GCGGGUGGAAAGCAGAGGAAGUUAUCUCGGAGUGUCCUGGUGUGAGUCCGUUUGAGAAAACUAAAACAAACAAACACCGCGCGUGGGCUCGAGUCCACCAGGGACUCGCGGUUGCCUAUCAGUCCACCUUUGUCCUGACGGAAUUUGAAUCUCUUUGCUGUGCGGCUUCAUUUCAGCUUAUGUACUGUAUCUGUAAAGAAGGGAUUUUCCCAAACUGAGUCCAAUGUUUAUUUUUGGCACACAAUUUCUCAGAUUUUUUCCAAUCCAUUUAUUUUUUUAUAAUUGUAUUAAUUUCAUGUAUUCUGUAUAUAUAUAUGUACUGCAGUAAGUUUGGGAGACCCGACUGUCAAGCACGACUUGUUUUUCAGUAAACAUUCCAAUGAAUGUAUUGAAGGAGGCAUAUUAUGUUUUUUUUUUAAACAAUAAACAUUUCUCAGAGGUCUCCAUAUCAUUGUUCUGCCAAAAUACUCAAAUUCUAACGUCCAGGGGCAGAGCUAGGGGGGGUUGUGAAGUGGUGAGUGGCUACUACUAGCCC
Long non-coding RNA from Hippocampus comes (tiger tail seahorse), 535 nucleotides. RefSeq lists it as uncharacterized. NCBI's taxonomy places the organism in Eukaryota, Metazoa, Chordata, Actinopteri, Syngnathiformes, Syngnathidae. The record is from RefSeq and is a predicted model, not a curated record. The transcript has 2 exons.